UUAAGAUAAAACUUAAAAACCACCAAGUUCCCGAGAGCAGAUUUUGGAAGUCCAAAACAAAAUCGCAAACGGUAGUUUAAUGCCAAGAUAAGUACAGGGAGACUUUGCCAAUCCAUUCUUCAAGAGUAUACCUACAUUUUUGGAGCUUUGUGGCAUAUUUCGGUUAAGGAAAACCCGAAAGAGAUGCAAGAGAGAAUUUAUCAUCAUAAGGUAUCGAGAGAGAUGAAAACCACAAAUAAGGUGGAAAAGAGAAAAAGAAUGAAUUUCUUGAAGGCUUAAGUUAUGAAGACUAAAUCUUCUGUGAUUUUAUCAUCAUAAGGUGUUCAAAGAAGUGGAAGUUAAUCCAGUUCAUAUCACUAGUGUGCUCGGUCUACUUUGUGGUUUGAGGUUAGUUACACUAACUUACUAAUUAUGUUAGCUAUGCGUGAUUAUGUGUUAAUUGUUAUGUAUGAGAUCAAGUAUAUAUAUGUUAUGAAAGUCUGAGCCUUUAGGAGAUGACCAAGCAUUAGUAUAAAGGUUGCCUUCGGAGAUGACCAGGCAUUAAUUCAAGGUUUCCUUUGGGAGAUGACCAGGAAGUGACUGAGAAAGGCCUUUUGGGAAUCAACCGUACAUGAAUGUUACCAAUAACAUGUGUUAAUCAAUUAUGUGAAUUAUGUGAUAUAUGUGACAUGCAAUACCUAAUAUGUAUUUAUGUGUUAUGUGAUGUAUAUGAUUAAUAUGAUGGGUGAGUAAUGUGUAGGCUUACUAAGCGUUAUCGCUUAACCGUUGUGAUUAACAUUGUUACAGGAAUAAAGGAGAACCCACUGUGACUGUAGCAACGUUUGCAUUUUUA
This is a long non-coding RNA of Lactuca sativa (garden lettuce), 832 nucleotides long. RefSeq lists it as uncharacterized. NCBI's taxonomy places the organism in Eukaryota, Viridiplantae, Streptophyta, Magnoliopsida, Asterales, Asteraceae. The record is from RefSeq and is a predicted model, not a curated record.